This 441-nucleotide ribosomal RNA is filed under the name uncultured bacterium. Its description in RNAcentral is "partial 16S ribosomal RNA". It matches the Rfam family "Bacterial small subunit ribosomal RNA", at positions 338 to 795 of the family's 1533-position model. The record is from RNAcentral.
CCUACGGGAGGCAGCAGUGGGGAAUAUUGGGCAAUGGGCGCAAGCCUGACCCAGCAACGCCGCGUGAAGGAAGAAGGCUUUCGGGUUGUAAACUUCUUUUGACAGGGAAGAGCAGAAGACGGUACCUGUCGAAUAAGCCACGGCUAACUACGUGCCAGCAGCCGCGGUAAUACGGAGGAUGCGAGCGUUAUCCGGAUUUAUUGGGUUUAAAGGGUGCGCAGGCGGAUUUUUAAGUCAGCGGUCAAAUCGUGGGGCUCAACCCCAUCCAGCCGUUGAAACUGGGGAUCUAGAGUGUGCGAGAGGUAUGCGGAAUGCGUGGUGUAGCGGUGAAAUGCAUAGAUAUCACGCAGAACCCCGAUUGCGAAGGCAGCAUACCGGUGCACAACUGACGCUCAGGCACGAAAGCGUGGGUAUCGAACAGGAUUAGAUACCCCUGUAGUC